UACGAAGGGGGCUAGCGUUGCUCGGAAUCACUGGGCGUAAAGCGCACGUAGGCGGAUCUUUAAGUCAGGGGUGAAAUCCUGGAGCUCAACUCCAGAACUGCCUUUGAUACUGGGAUCUCGAGUCCGGAAGAGGUGAGUGGAACUCCGAGUGUAGAGGUGAAAUUCGUAGAUAUUCGGAAGAACACCAGUGGCGAAGGCGGCUCACUGGUCCGGUACUGACGCUGAGGUGCGAAAGCGUGGGGAGCAAACAGG
This 252-nucleotide ribosomal RNA is filed under the name uncultured bacterium. RNAcentral's name for it is "partial 16S ribosomal RNA". It matches the Rfam family "Bacterial small subunit ribosomal RNA", at positions 524 to 776 of the family's 1533-position model. The record is from RNAcentral.